Molecule: long non-coding RNA, 808 nt
Organism: Numida meleagris (helmeted guineafowl)
Lineage: Eukaryota; Metazoa; Chordata; Aves; Galliformes; Numididae
Exons: 3
Source: RefSeq, a predicted model, not a curated record
UGAAGUGUGUGUAGUGUCACAUUCCCAUUGCACUGUGUUUGCUAGAGCAGGUGUAGCCUUAGAUACCUCAAGUUUGGAAAGGCUCACUGCAGAGGUCUAAGAGGAGUUAAUAGAUGGUCCUGAAACACCUCACUGCUAUUUGCAGCUAUUCCAUUUGUUCAUUUGUGGUAAGAGUGGUAAGAGAAUGCUGAAGUCAAUUGAAAGUCUGUUGUGAUCUCAGUGGCUUGUGGCACAGGUCUGAAGUCUUUCACCAAAUGACAAAGGAAGACUGUUUUCAGGUCCUUCUUCAUCUUGCAAUGCCAUCUUUAACUAGAAAACAGCUUUGAAGGUUUCACUGAAGAUAUCUUGACCAAAGAUGGUGAAAGACACUGUAAUGAUCUCUAAAUCCCUUCCUAUUCACUUUGCCAAUGGCAUUUACAAGAAGACAAGAGACUGCAUACUGCUUUAUUAUAUUGCCAAUAAUGCACCAUGAAGAUCCUGGUAAGGGAGAGCUUAAAAAUGGCUUGACUGCUCUUACUCAGAUCAGCUGCUUUCAGGAGUGGACUAGUGACAAAGUCACUGAAUAAACUAAGCACAGCUCAGGACUGUUUCCACAAUGUAGGAAAAAGACAAGUAAUAUAAGAGUGUUUUAGUCAUUUAGUAAUUUAUUUGGAAUAUGUGCCCAAAUCUUGUGGAUUUAAAACAUUCCUUUCUCUUACAUUUAUUUUAUACAGAAAUUGUGCUGUGACUAGUGAGGUCCUGUCAAGAACAUGAAAUUAAUUCAUUGCUUGGAUUUAAAUCAGCACUUAAUAAAGAAGAUUUAAAUCUA